GAUGAACGCUGGCGGCGUGCUUAACACAUGCAAGUCGAACGAAGAAGGUUGGAAUGAGAGCUUCGGCAGGAUUUCUUUCCAUCUUAGUGGCGGACGGGUGAGUAACGUGUGGGCAACCUGCCCUGUACUGGGGAAUAAUCAUUGGAAACGAUGACUAAUACCGCAUGUGGUCCUCGGAAGGCAUCUUCUGAGGAAGAAAGGAUUUAUUCGGUACAGGAUGGGCCCGCAUCUGAUUAGCUAGUUGGUGAGAUAACAGCCCACCAAGGCGACGAUCAGUAGCCGACCUGAGAGGGUGAUCGGCCACAUUGGGACUGAGACACGGCCCAAACUCCUACGGGAGGCAGCAGUGGGGAAUAUUGCACAAUGGGCGAAAGCCUGAUGCAGCAACGCCGCGUGAAGGAUGAAGGGUUUCGGCUCGUAAACUUCUAUCAAUAGGGAAGAAACAAAUGACGGUACCUAAAUAAGAAGCUC
Molecule: ribosomal RNA, 471 nt
Filed under: uncultured bacterium
Lineage: Bacteria
Description: bacterial SSU rRNA
Rfam family: Bacterial small subunit ribosomal RNA
Source: RNAcentral